AUGCCAAUCUUGUUCAACCGGUGUGCUUCUCUUCAAGUGGAUCUGAUCAUUUCAAUAUCUGCAAGAUCACCUCAAGUCUUCUCAACGGCGUUCGUUUCAUCCAUCUCCAGUUGCCUUUGUUUUUCCCACCCUCCCUCCCUUUGUUUGUUCGAGGACCCAGAUUUCUUUAUCAAGUAUCCUUUUAUUCUUGUGAAGUCUCGCCAUUCUUUUCCGUUAAUAUUCUUAUCCGGUGAUUCUCAUGAAGAUCGUAACGGAGCUUCAAGUUACCAUUCUUUGUCUCUUCUCUUCUCCGGUGGUUUCAAGUCAAGCUUUGUUGAUCAUAUCCUUUCCUCGUUUCAAUGCUUUCUCAUGCCGGUGCACAUCACAUUUAGUCAUUUCUUGCUAUUCUUUUGUUCCGGAAUGCUAAAGAUAUCUUAG
This 417-nucleotide ribosomal RNA is filed under the name Triticum aestivum (bread wheat). RNAcentral describes it as "partial small subunit ribosomal RNA". Lineage: Eukaryota; Viridiplantae; Streptophyta; Magnoliopsida; Poales; Poaceae. The record is from RNAcentral.